AGUGAACGCUGGCGGUAGGCCUAACACAUGCAAGUCGAACGGCAGCACAGGAGAGCUUGCUCUCUAGGUGGCGAGUGGCGGACGGGUGAGGAAUACAUCGGAAUCUGCUCAGUCGUGGGGGAUAACGUAGGGAAACUUACGCUAAUACCGCAUACGACCUUCGGGUGAAAGAGGGGGAUCGCAAGACCUCUCGCGAUUGGAUGAGCCGAUGUCGGAUUAGCUAGUUAGCGGGGUAAUGGCCCACCAAGGCGACGAUCCGUAGCUGGUCUGAGAGGAUGAUCAGCCACACUGGAACUGAGACACGGUCCAGACUCCUACGGGAGGCAGCAGUGGGGAAUAUUGGACAAUGGGCGCAAGCCUGAUCCAGCCAUACCGCGUGGGUGAAGAAGGCCUUCGGGUUGUAAAGCCCUUUUGUUGGGAAAGAAAUCUUUCAGGCUAAUACCCUGGGAGGAUGACGGUACCCAAAGAAUAAGCACCGGCUAACUUCGUG
This 490-nucleotide ribosomal RNA is filed under the name uncultured bacterium. RNAcentral describes it as "partial 16S ribosomal RNA". It matches the Rfam family "Bacterial small subunit ribosomal RNA", at positions 29 to 507 of the family's 1533-position model. The record is from RNAcentral.